GACGAACGCUGGCGGCGUGCUUAACACAUGCAAGUCGAACGGAAAGGCCCUGCUUUUGUGGGGUGCCAGAGUGGCGAACGGGUGAGUAACACGUGAGUCACCUGCCCUUGAUUUUGGGAUAACUUCAGGCAACUGGGGCUAAUACCGGAUAGCAGCUCCUGCUGCAUGGUGGGGGUUGGAAAUUUCCGGCGGGUGGGGGUGGACUCGCGGCUUAUCAGCUUGUUGGUGGGGUGGUGGCUUACCAAGGCUUUGACGGCUAGCCGGCCUGCGAGGGUGACCGGCCACAUUGGGACUGAGAUAAGGCCCAGACGCCUACGGGAGGCAGAAGUGGGGACUAUUGAACAAUGGGCGGACGCCUGAUGCAGCAACGCCGCGUGCGGGAUGACGGGCUUCGGGUUGUAAACCGCUUUCGCCUGUGACGAAGCGGGAGUGACGGUAAUGGGUCAAGAAGCACCGGCUAAGUACGUG
This 468-nucleotide ribosomal RNA is filed under the name uncultured bacterium. RNAcentral describes it as "partial 16S ribosomal RNA". It matches the Rfam family "Bacterial small subunit ribosomal RNA", at positions 28 to 507 of the family's 1533-position model. The record is from RNAcentral.